This 455-nucleotide ribosomal RNA is filed under the name Treponema sp. RNAcentral's name for it is "bacterial SSU rRNA". It matches the Rfam family "Bacterial small subunit ribosomal RNA", at positions 386 to 834 of the family's 1533-position model. The record is from RNAcentral. Lineage: Bacteria; Pseudomonadati; Spirochaetota; Spirochaetia; Treponematales; Treponemataceae.
ACGGAGCGACGCCGCGUGGAUGAUGAAGGCCGUGAGGUUGUAAAGUCCUUUUGAACCUGACGAAUAAGCGCGGGAGGGAAUGCCCGUGUGGUGACGGUAGGGUUUGAAUAAGCAACGGCUAAUUACGUGCCAGCAGCCGCGGUAACACGUAAGUUGCGAGCGUUGUUCGGAAUUAUUGGGCGUAAAGGGUAUGUAGGCGGUCAUGCAAGCUUGAUGUGAAAUCCAUGGGCUCAACCCGUGAACUGCAUUSAGAACUAUGUGACUUGAGUUACCGAGGGGAAACCGGAAUUCCAGGUGUAGGGGUGAAAUCUGUAGAUAUCUGGAAGAACACCGAUGGCGAAGGCAGGUUUCUAUUGGAUGACUGACNNUGAGGUACGAAGGUGCGGGGAGCAAACAGGAUUAGAUACCCUNNUAGUCCCACAGUAAACGAUGCGCACUASSUGUUUGCCUGAAAG